RNAcentral lists this long non-coding RNA (785 nucleotides) under Trifolium pratense (red clover). RNAcentral's name for it is "long non-coding RNA (TPRA_LNC009000)". Lineage: Eukaryota; Viridiplantae; Streptophyta; Magnoliopsida; Fabales; Fabaceae. The record is from RNAcentral.
CAAGUAAUCCCCUUAUAAAGGCUCAAAUCUCACAUAUAGAAGUUUGGUUCACAAAAAGAUAGUCCGCAUAGCACAUUAUGCUAAUUAUUAGCUUUCAAAAGACAACCCCAAUAUAACAUUGAACCAGUCUGUCAAAUAAUUUUUUUCUAGGAUCCCUCAAAGGCAUGAUCUCUAUUUUUAAACAUAAUUUUAAUCAAAACAAGCCAGAAAAAUGCAAUCAACUAGAACUAGCAAAUGUCAAGUGCCAAAAUAUAGACCCUCCCCCACACUAGUUCAGAACAUGGUCAAAAUUCAAAACAAAAUAUUCAACUAGACACAAAAGUAAAUAAGUGAGAGAGAGUAAAAGUAGCUUCCCUGAGAAAGCUUUCAACCAUUGAGGCGAGCGACAUAUCUCACUUGGAGUAACCCUUCAUCAUAAUGUUUUGCAACUGUCCGUUAACUUUGAAAGUAGUGUCAUCUUCUUUAGAAACCUCAAGUGCUCCAUGAGGAAGAACUCGAGUGACAGUGUAAGGUCUGAACCAUCUUGAGUGCAACAUUUAUUAAACAUACCAACAUAAUAAAAAUAUAAUAAACUAAAAUAUAAAACAAUAAACACGGGUUGCCUCCCGCGAAGCGCUUAUUUAACGUCCUGAGCUUGACGAGAGCCAAACAAUCAAUCAGGUGGCUCUCCAAGGGCAAAUUUCACCUUUAAUGCAUUGCCCCUUCUUAACUUUCUAAUUAUGUGGUUCAUAUUAUUCUUUCUUUUUCCAUGUGGUGGAUGAGCUUCAAAAAAUAGUGAAGUUUUC